RNAcentral lists this non-coding RNA (77 nucleotides) under Methylomonas lenta. RNAcentral describes it as "c-di-GMP sequence". It matches the Rfam family "c-di-GMP-I riboswitch aptamer". From Rfam's summary of the family: GEMM was predicted in a large-scale screen for bacterial structured RNA regulatory elements. Genes associated with GEMM are involved in a diverse array of functions, including chemotaxis regulation, signal transduction, secretion and chitin. Lineage: Bacteria; Pseudomonadati; Pseudomonadota; Gammaproteobacteria; Methylococcales; Methylococcaceae. The record is from Rfam by way of RNAcentral.
AACAGAUAAAGCCACACUUGUCGUAAGACAAGGUCGGAAAGCAAGAAUCUUAAUUCAAGAUCGUCCUUGCUGCCAAU